GUAGCGGUGAAAUGCGUAGAGAUGUGGAGGAACACCAGUGGCGAAGGCGACUCUCUGGUCCUGUAACUGACGCUGAGGAGCGAAAGCGUGGGGAGCGAACAGGAUUUAGAUACCCUGGUAGUCCACGCCGUAAACGAUGAGUGCUAAGUGUUAGGGGGUUUUCCGCCCCUUAGUGCUGCAGCUAACGCAUUAAGCACUCCGCCUGGGGAGUACGGUCGCAAGACUGAAACUCAAAGGAAUUGACGGGGGCCCGCACAAGCGGUGGAGCAUGUGGUUUAAUUCGAAGCAACGCGAAGAACCUUACCAGGUCUUGACAUCCUCUGACAAUCCUAGAGAUAGGACGUCCCCUUCGGGGGCAGAGUGACAGGUGGUGCAUGGUUGUCGUCAGCUCGUGUCGUGAGAUGUUGGGUUAAGUCCCGCAACGAGCGCAACCCUUGAUUUUAGUUGCCAGCAUUCAGUUGGGCACUCUAAGGUGACUGCCGGUGACAAACCGGAGGAAGGUGGGGAUGACGUGAAAUCAUCAUGCCCCUUAUGACCUGG
Molecule: ribosomal RNA, 540 nt
Filed under: Bacillus amyloliquefaciens
Lineage: Bacteria; Bacillati; Bacillota; Bacilli; Caryophanales; Bacillaceae
Also listed under: 1 other name
Description: bacterial SSU rRNA
Rfam family: Bacterial small subunit ribosomal RNA
Source: RNAcentral